CAGUGGGGGCUUGAAAUACAGCCCUAGUUGACCCGCCUAAGUCUUAACUGACUCCGUUAUUUGGGUCACGACACUCCUUUCUCCUUUGAUGCGUAGCUAGUUUUCUGCUCUGUCGCUGAGUAUUAAACAGCCAUUUGGGAGGCAGUGUACUCAGCCGAAAAAGCCUUGAUAACAUUGGCAAAGCUAACUUUAC
Non-coding RNA from Planktothrix serta PCC 8927, 193 nucleotides. NCBI's taxonomy places the organism in Bacteria, Bacillati, Cyanobacteriota, Cyanophyceae, Oscillatoriales, Microcoleaceae. The record is from Rfam.